GAUGAAGAACGUAGUGAAAUGCGAUAAGUAAUGUGAAUUGCAGAAUUUAGUGAAUCAUCGAAUCUUUGAACGCACAUUGCGCCCGCCAGUAUUCUGGCGGGCAUGCCUGUUCGAGCGUCAUUUCAACCAUCAAGCCCCCGGCUUGUGUUGGGGACCUGCGGCUGCCGCAGGCCCUGAAAAGCAGUGGCGGGCUCGCUGUCACACCGAGCGUAGUAGCAUACAUCUCGCUCUGGGCGUGCUGCGGGUUCCGGCCGUUAAACCACCUUCAUAACCCAAGGUUGACCUCGGAUCAGGUAGGAAGACCCGCUGAACUUAAGCAUAUCAAUAAGCGGAGGA
This 336-nucleotide unclassified non-coding RNA is filed under the name soil metagenome. RNAcentral's name for it is "partial contains 5.8S ribosomal RNA, internal transcribed spacer 2, and large subunit ribosomal RNA". The stretch from base 1 to 120 matches the Rfam family "5.8S ribosomal RNA", at positions 35 to 154 of the family's 154-position model. The record is from RNAcentral.